CAGCCGCCGCGGUAAUACCGGCGGCCCGAGUGGCGGCCACUAUUAUUGGGCUUAAAGCGUCCGUAGCCGGGUUGGUUAGUCUCCCGGGAAAUCUGGCCGCUUAACGGUCAGUAUUCCGGGAGAUACUGCCAGCCUAGGGACCGGGAGAGGCCGAGGGUAUUCCCGGAGUAGGGGUGAAAUCCUAUAAUCCCGAGAGGACCACCUGUGGCGAAGGCGCUCGGCUGGAACGGGUCCGACGGGGAGGGACGAAGGCCAGGGGAGCAAACCGGAUUAGAUACCCGGGUAGUCCUGGCUGUAAACGAUGCGGACUUUGUGUCGGACAAGCUAUGAGCUUGUCCGGUGCCGGAGGGAAACCGUUAAGUCCGCCGCCUGGGGAGUACGGCCGCAAGGCUGAAACUUAAAGGAAUUGGCGGG
This 414-nucleotide ribosomal RNA is filed under the name uncultured microorganism. RNAcentral describes it as "bacterial SSU rRNA". It matches the Rfam family "Archaeal small subunit ribosomal RNA", at positions 459 to 872 of the family's 1478-position model. The record is from RNAcentral.